RNAcentral lists this ribosomal RNA (258 nucleotides) under uncultured Leptotrichia sp. Its description in RNAcentral is "partial 16S ribosomal RNA". It matches the Rfam family "Bacterial small subunit ribosomal RNA", at positions 96 to 355 of the family's 1533-position model. Lineage: Bacteria; Fusobacteriati; Fusobacteriota; Fusobacteriia; Fusobacteriales; Leptotrichiaceae. The record is from RNAcentral.
UGGCGGACGGGUGAGUAACGCGUAAAGAACUUGCCCUUUAGACUGGGAUAACAGAGGGAAACUUCUGAUAAUACUGGAUAAGUUAGUAUAUCGCAUGAUAUGCAAAUGAAAGCUACGGCACUAAAGGAGAGCUUUGCGUCCUAUUAGCUAGUUGGUAAGGUAAGAGCUUACCAAGGCGAUGAUAGGUAGCCGGCCUGAGAGGGUGGACGGCCACAAGGGGACUGAGAUACGGCCCUUACUCCUACGGGAGGCAGCAGC